GACGAACGCUGGCGGCGUGCCUAAUACAUGCAAGUCGAACGCUUCUUUCCUCCCGAGUGCUUGCACUCAAUUGGAAAGAGGAGUGGCGGACGGGUGAGUAACACGUGGGUAACCUACCCAUCAGAGGGGGAUAACACUUGGAAACAGGUGCUAAUACCGCAUAACAGUUUAUGCCGCAUGGCAUAAGAGUGAAAGGCGCUUUCGGGUGUCGCUGAUGGAUGGACCCGCGGUGCAUUAGCUAGUUGGUGAGGUAACGGCUCACCAAGGCCACGAUGCAUAGCCGACCUGAGAGGGUGAUCGGCCACACUGGGACUGAGACACGGCCCAGACUCCUACGGGAGGCAGCAGUAGGGAAUCUUCGGCAAUGGACGAAAGUCUGACCGAGCAACGCCGCGUGAGUGAAGAAGGUUUUCGGAUCGUAAAACUCUGUUGUUAGAGAAGAACAAGGACGUUAGUAACUGAACGCCCCUGACGGUAUCUAACCAGAAAGCCACGGCUAACUACGUG
RNAcentral lists this ribosomal RNA (507 nucleotides) under uncultured bacterium. RNAcentral describes it as "partial 16S ribosomal RNA". It matches the Rfam family "Bacterial small subunit ribosomal RNA", at positions 28 to 507 of the family's 1533-position model. The record is from RNAcentral.